Molecule: non-coding RNA, 72 nt
Organism: Phrynosoma platyrhinos (Desert horned lizard)
Lineage: Eukaryota; Metazoa; Chordata; Lepidosauria; Squamata; Phrynosomatidae
Source: the annotation of a GenBank genome assembly
GUCAGUGUGGCAUAGUGGUUUGAGCGCUGGACUACAACUCGGGAUAACAGGGUUUGAUUCCCAGCUCAGCUA